UACGUAGGGGUCGAGCGUUGUCCGGAGUUACUGGGCGUAAAGCGCGCGCAGGUGGCUCAUUACGCCCGGCGUGAAAGCCCCCGGCCUGACCGGGGAAGGUCGUCGGGUACGGGUGAGCUUGAGGGUAUCAGGGGCUGGUGGAAUUCCCGGUGUAGUGGUGAAAUGCGUAGAGAUCGGGAGGAACACCCGUGGCGAAGGCGGCCAGCUGGGAUACACCUGACACUGAGGCGCGAAGGCGUGGGGAGCGAACGGG
Molecule: ribosomal RNA, 253 nt
Filed under: uncultured bacterium
Lineage: Bacteria
Description: partial 16S ribosomal RNA
Rfam family: Bacterial small subunit ribosomal RNA
Source: RNAcentral